This 2969-nucleotide unclassified non-coding RNA is filed under the name Colletotrichum truncatum. RNAcentral's name for it is "partial contains 26S ribosomal RNA, 26S-18S ribosomal RNA intergenic spacer, and 18S ribosomal RNA". The stretch from base 1 to 226 matches the Rfam family "Eukaryotic large subunit ribosomal RNA", at positions 3162 to 3401 of the family's 3401-position model. The record is from RNAcentral. Lineage: Eukaryota; Fungi; Ascomycota; Sordariomycetes; Glomerellales; Glomerellaceae.
UCCCGCACGUACAGAUGGACACGAAUAGGCUUCGGCUUAGCGUCUUAGCAGGCGAUUACUCCACUGCUCUCGAAGCGAGUAGUGGUAUUUCGCGAAUUGUAAUUUCAGCACGAGCGGGGUUAAAUCCUUUGCAGACGACUUAGAUGUGCGAAAGGGUCCUGUAAGCAGUAGAGUAGCCUUGUUGUUACGAUCUGCUGAGGGUAAGCCCUCCUUCGCCUCGAUUUCCUCAUGAACUCCAGCGGCCGACGGCCGCGAGCACACGAGGGUUAGGGGACUGCCGCGGGCAGGGACUUGAGGGGCCGCGCCGACGAUUCGGUGCGGCCAAGUCUCGUCUCGACGACGCAAGUACCCUGGAAAGGAUAUUGCGGACGGCCGUGACGGCCAAGUGCGUGUCCGCGACGCCAGGUACCCUGGAAGGGACGCGGUCGAGGCCCGAGACGUGCAACGCAGAACGAAGUGCCCGAGUGCGCCGGGUACCCUGCAAUAGGCUUUAGAGGGCGAGGCGCCAGGUACCCCGGAAAGGGCCUGGGGUGGCCAAGUACCCUGGAGAGCGAUUCCCUAGUACCCUGGAAAGGAGAUGGAUGCUGAGCCCCCUGGAAUGGCCAAGUACCCUGGAGCAGAAUUCCCGAGUACCCCGGAAAGCGAUUCCCAAGUACCCUGGAGCAGAAUUCCCGAGUACCCCGGAAAGCGAUUCCCAGGUACCCUGGAAAGCAAUUCCUACGCACCCUGGAGCAGAAUUCCCGAGUACCCCGGAAAGCGAUUCCCAAGUACCCUGGAAAGCAGUUCCCAAGUACCCUGGAGCAGAAUUCCCAGGUACCCUGGAAAGCAAUUCCUACGCACCCUGGAGCAGAAUUCCCGAGUACCCCGGAAAGCGAUUCCCAAGUACCCUGGAAAGCAAUUCCUACGCACCCUAGGGCGGAAUUCCCAGGUACCCUGGAAAGCAAUUCCUACGCACCCUAGGGCGGAAUUCCCAAGUACCCUAGGGUAGAAGCCUUAAGUACCCUAUAAAGCAGUCUUUAGGUACCUUAGAAAGGAGAUCCUAAGUGUAAAUAUUUUUUCGGUAAAUAAAAUAGACAUAGAAGUAGCUGUAGUAGAGAAGUAGUAGGAUUAGAAGCGUUACUUAUACUAAGGCCUAUAUUAUAAAACUGUUAAAUAGGGUACUAGAAAAUAAAAGAGUUAUUAAGGGACUAUACAAAGGAGGUUAGAUUAAGAGGGGAGCUUUUUCUUAAAAGGUAAGUAGUAUUCUACUUUUAUACAGUCACCUCUCUUAAUAAGGGUAGAAGAUAAGAUAGAAAUAGGCUAUCUAUACAGGUAAGGAUAUAUAGUAACGCCUACAUAGUAUAAAGAAUAGAGUGUCUAAGUAUAGUAGUAAAAGUAAAUAGUACUAAGACUAGAAUAAUAUAUACUUAUAUAUUAGAUUCUAAGACGUAUAUACAAGAGAGAAGCUUUAAUGCUUAUAGUAGACUAUAGGUUUAUAAAGAAUAGAGAUAAGUAAAGACGGAGAUAAAGGCAGACCUCUAAAGGAAAGCUACUUUAUGGAAAGGAAGUCUAGGUACCCUAGGAAGGCCAAGUACCCUGGAAAGAACGUCCUAGGUACCCUGGAAAGGCCAAGUACCCUGGAAAAAGUCCCAGGUACCCUGGAAAGGCCAAGUACCCUGGAAAAAGUCCCAGGUACCCUGGAAAGGCCAAGUACCCUGGAAAAAGUCCCAGGUACCCUGGAAAGGCCAAGUACCCUGGAAAAAGUCCCAGGUACCCUGGAAAGGCCAAGUACCCUGGAAAAAGUCCCAGGUACCCUGGAAAGGCCAAGUACCCUGGAAAAAGUCCCAGGUACCCUGGAAAGGCCAAGUACCCUGGAAAAAGUCCCAGGUACCCUGGAAAGGGACUUUCUACCUUGGCGCCUAGGCUAUAAGUAGGUAGUAUAGGGCUGUAGAGCGCCUCUAGGGGAGCCUAGCGCACCAGGCCCUAUAGCUAUAGCGCCUACAGCGGGCGAGAAAACCGCUGCGGAAGUUCAAAAAACCGGCGGUUGGACUGCGGGGUGGGCGCCCGCGGGCUGCCCGGCACGGCGGGCUUAUAGAGCUCGCUGCGGCGGUUACAGCGCCGUAAGGCCCUAUACGGUAGGCACUAUAGCGCUGGAGAUACGGCGGCCCAAAGCCGCAGGUACCCUGGAAGGCAAUUGUCAAGUACCCUGGAAGGGAAAAAGAGGUGGGCCGCAGGGCGCCGCCGAGCAGCUGGUGGCGGCGACGACGUGGGCGGUCGACGGGCAUACCUGGGUUUUGCGUGCGGGAUCGGAUAAGGUUUUGGUGGCCGUGAGUCGAUUUUUUUGUUUUCCCAUACAAAUCUUUUUUUCGGGAAAUGUUUUUUCGGGACAGAAGCAGGUGGAGCGGGGCCGGGGCGCAAAAAGUGUCGCAGGGCCUAUGAGAAGAGAGCGAGUGCAGCCAACCGGCGGCACAGCGCAACUGCUCCACCCGCUGAGGGUGCGCGCUGUAGAAAUACAGCGCAACCGUCCCAUAUCUUAAUGACUGCUGCGUGGCGUCUCUCUGAACAGCCUCGCAGGUAUCUUCCUCGGUGGCGGGGAGUUCGUAGCAGCAGUCGACGCCCACUGUGGUGCACCGCUAAGGCGGCGCAUCAUCCUGGGAGUGCCCGGAGGGUUUGGGGGUCACGAGCCCCUAGACCCGAAGGAUGGGUUCUGUGGAUGAAUGGCCGUUGGCUAUACUUACACUGAGCAUCGGGAGAGAAACGCCCGCGGUCGGACGCUGAAUAGCUGAAGCCGCGGGGCCAGUUGCUCCUCUUGGGACCCCCCAACCACGCAACCCCCCCGGGGGCACAGCGCGGUGAACGGGGUCCUGGGGAAUUCAGAGGGGGAAAGCGGAAGCUUCCUCUGCGCCUACGGCCUAGCCGGACGGCCGCAGGGGGGGCGCGAGCGCUGUUUCGGCAGCGUGAGCGAUUCCGGUGACUAAAACGCUUCGGCC